GUGUUGUGGUGAUCAUGCUGAUAUAAAUCGUCAUAGUCAUAGUCAUCAUGGAUGUUGCCGCCACAGUGGUAAUACUAGUUUUCAACAUGCUAUUCCAUCAGCUCCUCCUUUGCCUUUUGAGUAUUCUCAGACACCACCAUCUCCACAAUCGUCAUCAUCGCCAUCAAUGCCUAUCACCUAUCAUAGUGUCUUCAGCGACGAGAAUGUAACUGGCUGCAUAAUAGUAUGAUAUGGUGCCAUAUAUGUCUUUGUGUGUGUGUGUGUGUGUGUGUGUUUGUGAUGUGAUAGAUCUGUUAGUCAACUUCUCUUGUAACUACUCGGUAAAUUUGCUCAUAGUUGUUUAAAUAUUCUAGUUUUGUAUCUUUUUUUUCAAAGGUACCUAUUACGAUCAGCACCGAAGAAUCUUAGUAGCUCAGUUGGUUGGCUUCCUAAAUGUUCACCUUGCUGGUGUGGGUUCGAUUCUCCAUUUCCCCUUCCCCUGCCCCAAUUUCUCGGUUAUUGAUGGAAAAAAAAAAACUACAACAACAACAACAAAAUAACACUACCCCGUGUAUUCCCACAAAGUGGGGUCUGGGGAGGGUAAAGAGUACGCAGUCCAUACCACUACCUCAGAUGAAGUAGGGAGGUUGUUUCUGAUAGACCCCGGCUUAGGACAGAUAACAAAUAACAAGCAAAAAACAUAAAAGUAAACAACAACAAGGGAUAUCACACUACGAGAUAUUAGAGAAAACAAAACACCCACAAAGUAACAUCAUAAACUAUCUAAACGAAAUCAUGAACAUCACCAAAACACCAUGAACAAAAGGCUACAAGACACUACAGGCACAGAUACAAACAAACAGAGCACUCUUCCCUAUUAUUACGAACGUACUCCUACCUACUACCCCUCUACCUUAAUUUACGUCCUCCACACCUUCCUAUCAAGGGUCAUGUACUCUGUCAGCUGUAACUGCCCCAUAUCUUAGUAGCUGUAAUCUUUUUUCUUCAAAGGUACCUAUUACGAUCCGCACCGGAGAAUCUUAGUAGCUCAGGUGGUUGGCUUCGUAAAUGUUCACCUUGUUGGUGGGUUCAAUUCUCCAUUUCCCCUUCCCCUACCCCUAAUGCAACUUUUUGUUGUUCAAUUUUACUAUAAGUGACUUGUUUAAAGAUUCGACAUCUAUUGAGAUACAUAUCCUUGAUCAGUCCCGUUGAUGUAUAAAAGUUAUUUAUAUGUCAUGUCGUAAAGUCAGAAUAUUAACCUCAGAAGAUUUAUACCAUGAGCUUCACUAGCCCUCGGCAGAGCUCGUUCACUGAAUCUUGGGCGUCUUUAAGUUUUCAGCAUCUUCUCAAUCAACCUUUAGGUUUCACAGCACGGAUGUCAAUCACUACUUUUAUCAAAAUUCGCUUUGUACUCUGCAGGCAAAAAAAAAAAAAGUGCCACCGUUAAGUGAUGUCUUCAUGAAGUAAAUAGGAUGAAAUGCGUCCACUUUAGACACUACAGAAUACAAAAACUCAAGACAAAGUGACACGCAUCUGUGAUGAUAUAACAUAUGCUCAGCCUAAGCACCAGAAAGUAACAACAGAAAUCAGUUUCCAUAAUGCAAUGCACUUAAGGUUGUGGCUGAAGUUCGCGAUGAGCAACACUGUGUUCAGCAUUUCACACUGUACACAAACAAGAAUGAUUUUACCUUUAAGAGGACUUGAGAAUAAAAGUACGCUCAUCCAACCUGAGGUAAACAAUACUAAAGACAAGCUCCUCUGACAAAUAUUGUUUGUUCUGUCAUAUACUAUCCAACCAACCCCAGCUAACAGAGGCAGAUCUGGAAUUUAAGCGUAACGGUUUUCAAUUCGAGAUUCUAUCACAGGUUCAAUAUCUUUACUCAAACUAUUGUGUUCCGAUGAAGUAACACUAUGUCUGCCCCUGCCUACAAGGCCAUACAGGUGACCAGUGACAUCAAAAAUCCAAUUCAAGAUUCACCCACAGGAAAGGAGCAGUGUCCUUCACUGGCAACUUGCAUCAUAUUCUCGUCUACCAUCUGGACAACGACAUAGUAUCCAUCCUUCAAUUCACGUUGUUUAGUUCAACUUGAAAGCACCUUGUGAAUUUUUCCCGGCAGAUCAAAGCCCCAUAUAUUCUCAGACAUAAAAUUUUCAGCGGAAUUGAGAACAAUAAAUAACAGCGAAACUAAACUUGAGUAAUCAGAAAAUUCUACAACACUAAUGGGGCUUUAGUUAAGCUGGUCCUGAAUUGUACAACUUCUCCAUCCAAUAUUGUGCAUACAACAAAACUACGCCUUCAUCCCAAACAAGUUGGAAUCAGCUAUAUGAAUCUUCAAGUCUUCAUUUACUAUUAUUUUAUUAUGAGGACUACUCAUGGAUUGGAAAAUUUUACAUUGGCUGCCAACCUACGGCAACCCUCCUCCUUUUUCCGGGCUUGGGACCGGCAAUGUGAGCGAGCUAACACUGGCAGAGUUAUGCCUAUAGGAGUACCUCACUGAUAUUCUUCAAAUUUAUAAAGCCCCAUCAAGCAGGAAGAGAACAUGUAAUGAGAGAAGUAAGAACCGCACUGGAAUAAGCGUUGUAUAAGCUAUACUCAGUAAAAUCAAACGUAUUAAGAUUUGUAUAUUAAUAUUGGAACGUUGAAUUGGAAAAAGCAACAGAGGAUUAGGGUAGGAGCACAGCACCCCCAGUUAUCAACCUCUACCUGCACUGACACCACCAUUGUGGUCGAGUGAUAGUACUAGCUCAUCUCCCCUCCUUUGUCAUCUGAUUAGUAUCAGGGGCCACCAUCAUCGUCGCCAAUGCCUCACUCCUAUUACAGUGCCUUAAGCGAAGAGAAUGCAAAUGGCUGCAGAAUCCAGUGAUGCGCGAGUGUGUGUGUUGCGACUGUGUGCGUGUUUGUUUCAUGCCAAAUGAAGUUAAGGUACGAUUGUUACCAAAAGUUAUGGGUAAAUGUAAAUUCACCAUAGACAUUAUGGAAGCACUCAUAAAAAUUUCCAAGCAAAUACAGAAUGGAAUUAGGCAUAAGAACUAUCGGUCAUGGAGUCAAUGUCAAAUUCACUAUGAACAUUAUGGUACUAAAGAAAUAGACAGCAAGAAUAUCGAGAGGAUUUAAUAGACUAAACUACUAUCAAAUUAACCUGAGGGCUGAUCUAUACUUUCAACUAUGCAAUAGGAAGUUGAUCUAAACUAGAAAUUAACAUAUUGUUUUGCUAAUGCAGGAAUGGACUUGGUAAAAAUUAAAGAAAGGCUUGUCUGAUGCACAACGAAGCAUAGUUUCCGCAAAUUCAUACCAUUCUGAUACCAAAGUUAGGGGAAAGGAACAAUAACGAAACAAAAGCUGCCAAAUAUAACAACACUUCAAAGAUCAAUACCGUUUGCAAUUGGGAAAGAGGGAACUCACAACAAAAACAAAGAAAUCCUCAAACAUGCGCACCAGAGUUAACUGAAAAAGGACCAGAAAUUGGGUUUCAAAGAAGCCAUUAAGAUUUACUUGCUUGGAUUGGUUCUUUUUAUGGUCAUGAUCGUAGUAGACAAGGUUAAAAAUAAAUUACUGUAUUAACAAAGCGGCAAUAUUCACACAAUGAACAAACUUCACAAUCAUCAAAAAAGAAAAGGCGCGUUACAACCAAAGUAGUAGUUGUCAUGAGAACGGCGCAGAUUUUACAUGAACUAUUACUGCUAAACUUUUCUUUAUUUCCUCCACCCCUUGUUUAUUCUUUUUACUUUUAUUUGUUGAAAAUUGGACCUUUACCGCAUAGUAUAACAUGAAAUAUACACACAAACAACUGCGCGCGCGCACACACAUACACACAUCAUUGGAUUAUACAUCUAUUCGUGUUCUCGUCGCUUAAGACGCUGUAAUAGGAAGGACGCACUGACAAGUAUGAAGGUGGUGAUGCCGGUGGCUGAAAAUAGUCGGACGGCAAAGGAGGAGCUGAUGGAAUAGUACGAUCACCUGACCAUGGUGGCUGCAUCAUAAGUGCAUGAGGAAUGUAUCCCAUUGGCAGCGGCCGCAGGCAAUGGCAAGAAUAGUUGUUUCUGUUAUCCGCACAAUAAGAACCAGAAUGAGUAUAAUUACCACCGUGGCCACCACAACACGACGAAGAUGCAAAACAAAGUCCACCACCAUGUGGAAGCAUCUCCGGUUGUGUAGCCGGUACAUUAUGGUAACAAUAGUUGUUUCUGUUAUUGGCAUAACAAGAACCAAAUCUAGUAUUACCAUGAUUGCAACCACAACAUGAUGAAGACGCAGAACAAAGUCGACCACCACCACCAUGUGGAAGCACUUUUGAUUGUGUUAUCCCAGUGUUAUUACUUGUUGAUUGUCCUUGGAAAGUCAGCUUGACCUCCACAUUAUGCAAUCUUGGGUUAUCAAAUAGCUUUACCUCCACAAUGUUCGAACCACUCGGUGGAUCAUUCACUUUUAAUUUUUCACAUGGCCAAAGCUCGGCUUCUCUCCCACGCUUCUCAAGCUUGCGUAGGACUUUUUCAGGAUCUACUUUGCCUGAAAUGACUACUUUCCCAAGUUUAUGAUCAAUGUCAACUGAAUCAACACCGUUCACCUCUUUCAGCUGCUUUUUUAGUUCCACUCCACAAUCCUUGCAGUGUACUUUCAUCCUGAGAGCAAUGCUCUUGGAAGAUUUCGACAUUGUUUCCCAAGAUUGCUGAUCAUAGCAAUAGCUAAUCAGACCUGAAAACAUUAUCCUAUAAAAAAACAAAAAAAACUAUCCGCUUUAUCAAAAUCCUCUAUUUUCUUAUCUAAGGACAUCAUAUGAAGCUUAACAAUAAAAUAGAGCACCAUCAUCUGGAUUGUUCCAUAACUGCUAAAAUCAAUUUUGAUAUUCGGUGAAAUGCAUAGCCGACCCUAAGCUUCCAAAAGAUUUCAUGUAGAUACCUCACCUUGGUGUCCAUUGUUGCACAAACUGUGCCUGCUAUGCACAUAUUUAACAGUUCUAAACCAAGAUGUAAGCCCUUGAGGUACAUUAAGGAUUUAAAGUUUGUGGGUGCGGGUUGGGUCAAGAUCUCAGAUCUAAGAUAACUAUAGUAUAAAGCUUAAACAAUGAGGUACAUCUAGGAGCAGCUGGCUUCUGCAAUAACAAGUCAAAAUCAACAAAUAUUUUUUAUCUUCUUUCGAGUAUAUACCACAACAAAAUCAGCAAGUCAUUCUUACAUCCCGCUGGAAAUUUGCUUUUUCGUUUAGUAGCGAACAAAACAAAUCUUGCAGAGUCAUAUUCUUCCAUUCAAAAUAUAAACAUAGACAACAGUUCAUUGAGACCACUAAAAUCUAACAGCAGAAGAGAUUUGUAAACAAAACACAAUAAACUUUCAUUGUCAUCUUAUACUAUGAGUUUCCUAUUCAAAAUAUAAGUAGACACAACAACAAAAUCACUAAAACAUCGGGAUUUUCGAUGGAAGCUCGUCAGAAAUGUUACCGAUGAGCCAAUUUCUAACGGAUUCCAUCAACAAAUUGCCAUCUUUAGGUGUGUACACUAAAAAUAUCUUGCAGAGUCAAAUUCUUCCAUUCAAAUUAUAGCAGAAAUAACAGUUCAUGCGGGAGCUUUAGUUCACAAGGCUUCCCUUUAUCUAAAACUGACAGUAAGGAGAUCUACAAACAAAACAAAAUAAUUUUUUCUAUCAUAUUCUUCUACUCAAAAUAUAAACAGACAUAACAGUUAGAGUAUUUGAGAUCGAUAAACAAAGCAUAAUAAAUUUUCAUUGUCCUGACUCAUAUUAUUGUGUGAGUUCUUCUACCUCAAAAUAUGAGUAGAUAUAACAACAAAAAGAGGCCAGCUCGGUGUAUUGAAGCUCGCGCGGAGUCCAAGAAAGAACAUAAACAUACACCUUAACUUACCAUAUUUACACAAAUUCUUACCCUUAUAAGGUAACUACAAAAAUCUCAACUAAUUAUGCAUUUCGUUGGAUGUAUCGGGAGCUAAUUAUGAAUCUCGCCAGAUCCAAAUCGGCAGCUAAUUAUGUAUCUUUACAAAGGAAAAAAAUUGUAUCUUCGUUAUAUUAUGUGUCCCGACAUAUCAAAAAUUGGAAAAAAAACAAUGUGUGGGGAGCUAAUUAUGUAUCUUUACAAAAGAAAAAAUGUACCAAGAGCUAAUUAUGCAUUUCGUUGGAUUUAUCGGGAGUUAAUUAUGAAUCCCGAUAGAUCCAAAUCGACAGCUAAUUAUGUAUCUCUACAAAAGAAAAAAUUGUAUCUUCGUUGUAUUAUGUACCUCGACAUAUCAAAAAUUGGAAAAAAAAAAUGUGUGGGGAGCUAAUUAUGUAUCUUUACGAAAGAAAAAAUGUAUCAAGAGCUAAUUAUGCAUCCCAACAGACCCAAAAUCGGGAAUUUCAUUAAUUAUGCAAAUUUUUUUUCUGUAAUUAAGCUCGAAACUGUCGGGAUUUAUGUUGUUUGAGCCUUAUUAUACACGGUCUUACCUCAGAUUUAUACAAGAGAUUAUUUCCACGACUUGAACGAGCUAAUUAUGACAAACCCAAAAUGAGGAUUUUCAGUAAUUAUGCAAAAUUUAAGCUCAAAACUAUUGAAAUUUAUCUUGUUUGCCCAUUUAUUGUACACAAUCAUAGCUCACAUUUAUACAAGAGAUUAUUUCUACGGCUUGAACUGAUGGUUUAUAACAACAUAAUCACACUACAGCAAAGUUAGGAAGGUUACCGGAGAAGACUCUUUUGUCUCUAUUGAUAUAUCUAUACACCAAAGCGAAAACUGAGAAUAAAUAAACAAAGGAUCCAUUUAUAUUAUAUAUACUAGUAGUUUUAUGGCCAUAAUGGAUCCUUUGUUUAUAGUAGAAAAAAAAUAAGUAGUUUAAUGUCUCUAUUACUGGGUGUCUGUACCAACAAAACGAAUUCAGUCAUGAUGCAUUACUCUUUUUAAUUUGUUUGGCCAUCACCCCAAUCCAAAAGCCAUUCUUUUUAUUUUAUUCUUUAGAUUAUCAAUAAUCCAUCUAUAUAAUGUAUCCUAGCUAUUCAACAGGACAGUGUCUGCCUGGAUUAAUUGCUUUUUAGGUAUCAUUUUGUUCCACUAUCCCUUAAAUAUAUUUUUAAAAUUUUUUAAUACUCAUUUCCGUGAGGCAUAAUUUGUAAUUACAAAGUUUUUGAGCUAAUUCUUGCCUCUAAGGCAAGACAUCUCAUAAAUAAAAAACUUUUUUUUUAAUAAAUGUAGACGUUGAGAUAAAUUAAAAAUAAAAAAAAAAAAAAAAAAAAAAAAAAAGUAAAAGUUGAGAAAAAAUAAAAAGAACAAAAAAUAAGAGGAAAGAAAAAAAAAUCAAAGUAAAAAUUGAAAAAAAAAAACAAAUUGAGAGGAAAAAAGAAAAAAAAAAUAAGGGUUGAAAAAAUAAAAAAUAAAAAGUGAAAAUAAAAAAUAAAAAUCAAAGUAAAAUUAAAAAGAGAAAAAAAUAAAAGUUGAAAGAUAUAUAAAUAUAGAGUUGUUAUUCAUUAUGAGGAUCAUUUAUGUAAUUUACUCAAUUGGUUAGGAGUAAUUUCGUCCAAAAAAUAUUACUAGUUAAGAGGUAAAGGCUAUUUUAGAGAAACUUUUUUAUUUGAGGCUAAAAUUUGAAAGUCAACCCAAUUUGAGUUUAUUCCUAAAAUUUACCCAAUAUUCAGGUCCAUGCUAGCACGAGCCCAAUAUAUAUUAUUUUUAAUCUCAAUUUAUGUGAUAUAAGUAAAAUUUAGAUAAUUAAUUAUAUUUUUAAUAUAUUUUUAGAUAUUUUAAGUUGUCAACUACUGUAAUUUAUAAUUUUUUUUGGCAUUAUAAUUUAUUAUUUUAAGCCGUUAGCUAUUAUAAUUUAUAACAUUUUUCUUGAUUAAACUUUUGUGAUAUCGAUAGUUAAUUAUAAAAUAGAGAAGCAAUUGGGAAGAGAAAAAAAAAAAGCAAAACUGCAAUUUUGAAACGGCACAUUCAACAUGUUAGCUUUAUGACAUUAAGUAAAAAGUUUAAGGCUAUUAUGGACCUUAAAACUUUUGCAAGAUUAACCUGGCUGAGAAAGUGGUCAUAUUUUGCUUUAUUAUUUGGACCUUACGAAUAACUUCAGAAAUUGCCCAUUCUUUUCUCUUAAAUUUAAGGGUGGGCGGGUUUUGGGUUGACCCGGCCCGGUCUAUUAAAUUUAUCCGGAUUGUGGGUCGGUUCAGUCUAGGUUGUGGUUAAGUGGGUCAGGCCGGUCCCGGGUUCAACAAAAAAAAAUUUCAAACACAACCCUGAUCCGACCGACUUAACUCAGCCCGGUCAAACCCAUUGAAAAAAAAAAGUUUUUUUCAAUAUAUACUAUAUAUACCCAUCUAUAUACAUUUUAAAUACGUUAAACAAUAUAUAUACACUAUACAUAUUUUAUAUACUACAUUAGAGAUUAAAAAAUAUGUAUACAUAUACACAAUUACACAUAUAUACACACCAUUCAAUAUACUAGUUUAACUGCACGUGCCUCGCACGUGUAAGGUUUAAUUAUUUAAAAUUAAAUUAUUUUUUCUAUUGUGGAGAUUUUUAAUGAAGUGCAAAAAGUUUAAAUUACUUUUCAAAACUCCUUCACUUUAAUAUAAUAAUGUAAACAUAAACAUAUAUUUUAGUGUAAGCACAUAUAUAUUUUGACACAAGUUUAGAGUGGUUGAUGGUUAAUCAUUUUUGCAUUUUUCAUGCAGUACCUCUUUCUCUUGCUGUCAUAGGCUAAGAGAAACACAUCAAUUUGAACCAUGCACUGUGGUACGAUAAUUUUUUUAUAUUUAAAAUUUUUCUUUAUUUUUAAAGUCAAAUCUUUACAAAAUCAUUGAUUACAUUCUUAUUACAUACUUAAAACUUUUUAAAAUUUGGAUGAAAUGGAGGCUCGCUUCGAGAAUUUUAUGCGAUAAGAAGGUGUCCCUUAAACUAAAAGGCAAAUUCUAGAGUUGCAGUCCGGCCUACUAUGUUGUAUGGAGCGGAGUGUUGACCGAUUAAUAAUUCGCAUAUCCAAAAGUUGAAGAUGGCGGAAAUGAGGAUGUUGCGUUGGAUGUGUGGAUGCACAAGGGCUGGCAGGGUUAGGAAUGAAAUUAUUCAGGAGAAGGUGGGAGUGGUGUCAGUGGAGGAUAAAAUGCGAAAAGUGAGAUUGAGAUGGUUUGGUCAUGUGAUGAGGAGAGGCACGGAUGCCCCAGUUCGUAGGUGUGAGAGGUUGGCCUUGGAAGGUUUUAAACGGGGUAAGGAUAGGCCGAAGAAAUACUGAAGAGAAGUGAUUAAACGUGACAUGGAGCAGUUACAGUUGAGGACACGACCCUGGAUAGGAAGAUAUGGAGGAAAAACAUUAGGAUAGACGGCUAAGGGUAUGAAUGAGUCGUAGUCAGUAUUUAGGUGAACUUUGGUGUCCUUUGUUUGGCAAUGUACAUAUUUUUGUGGAUGUCGUACCUAUGUUAUUUUAUCGUGUUCUAUGUUUUUUAUGCUUUUGUAUACUGCCUUUUAUCUUGAGCCGGAGGUCUAUCGAAAACAGCCUCUCUACCUUUGUAGAGGUAGUGAUAUGAACUGCACACAUUCUACCCUCCCCAAACCCCACUAUGUGAGAAUAUACUUGGUUUGUUGUUAUUGUAUCUAUAGAAGAUAUAUACACAAAUAUACGCACCAUUCAAUAUAUAUGUACUACUUUAAAUAAAACAUGUAAUACAAUAUAUAUACUACAAUAUAUAUAUAUAUAGUUAUGUACUAAUUUAUAAAACAGAUACAUAUGUAUACGUUAAAUAUACGCAUCUAUAGAAGAUAUAUACAAAAAUAUACAAAGCAUAUGCUACUUAAUAUAAUAAAUAAUAAUACUUGAUAUUAAAUUAAUAAUAUAUUAAAAGUAAGUUUUUAAUUUAAACUAGAAAUUCAAUUUAAAUCAUUAAAUGAAAAAAAUUACAAAGUAAGGACUAAAGAGUGAAUGAAUGUUGAAUUUUAUUGAUUGCAAAAUGAUCUAAAAUUUACAAUUUACAUGAAUGAAAAAAUAUUCAAAUUAUGCAUUAGGGUAUUUAUAAAAAAAAAAUUUGGGGAUUAAAAAAAUAAUUAAAAUAUAUAUAUAUAUAUAUAUAUAUAUAUAUAUAUAAUAAAGGGGCUCAAACUAGCUGUUUGGACCCAAAAACGGCUAUAUAAUCGUUGGGCCAACGAUUAGUUUGGCCCAAAUCUUCAAAUUUUUUUUUAAAAAAGUUAACCGGCCCGGUCUGGACCAAUUUUGAUCCGAACCGGAUUAACCGAGCCCAAAUUCAAAAUUAAAUCAACGCAGGACCGGUAUCCUACAAUCCUUGGGCUGAUUGAGCUGGGUCAGAUCGGCCGGAUCAACCCGGCCCGUUUGACAGACUUGCUUCUAUUACAAACCAACCAUGCCCCAUUUUUGCAAUUGAAUAUGGUGGGACCCAUUAAACUUUCAAAUUGACUCCAAAAUCAGUGCAAUAAUGAUGGCAUACUAUUCUUCCAUACAUACCAUGUAGGGAAUUUGUUGAAUUCAAAGUCCAGUGUGUGUAUUAUAUUAGUCCUGCGAAUGGUGGUGGAUUUUGUGGGGCUUCUUCGUCGUGUUGUGGUGAUCAUGCUGAUAUAAAUCGUCAUAGUCAUAGUCAUCGUGGAUGUUGCUGCCACAGUGGUGAUACUAGUUCUCAACAUGCUAUUCCAUCAGCUCCUCCGUUGCCUUUUGAGCAUUUUCAGGCACCACCAUCUCCACAAUCGUCAUCAUAGCUGUCAAUGCCCAUCACCUAUCAUAGUUUCUUAAGUGACGACAAUGUAAAUGGCUGCAUAAUAGUAUGAUAUGGUGCCAUAUAUGUCUUUGUGUGUGUGUGUUUGUGAUGUGAUAGAUCUGUUAGUC
Molecule: long non-coding RNA, 10769 nt
Filed under: Capsicum annuum
Lineage: Eukaryota; Viridiplantae; Streptophyta; Magnoliopsida; Solanales; Solanaceae
Description: long non-coding RNA (CANN_LNC007640)
Source: RNAcentral